RNAcentral lists this ribosomal RNA (684 nucleotides) under Agelena labyrinthica. Its description in RNAcentral is "SSU rRNA". It matches the Rfam family "Eukaryotic small subunit ribosomal RNA", at positions 428 to 1118 of the family's 1831-position model. The record is from RNAcentral. Lineage: Eukaryota; Metazoa; Arthropoda; Arachnida; Araneae; Agelenidae.
UCAGGCGCGCAAAUUACCCACUCCCAGAACGGGGAGGUAGUGACGAAAAAUAACAAUACGGGACUCUUUUGAGACCCCGUAAUUGGAAUGAGUACACUCUAAAUCCUUUAACGAGGAUCCAUUGGAGGGUAAGUCUGGUGCCAGCAACCGCGGUAAUUCCAGCUCCAAUAGCGUAUAUUAAAGUUGUUGCGGUUAAAAAGCUCGUAGUUGGAUCUCAGUUCCAGACGGGUGGUCCUCCUACGGUGGUUACUGCCUGUUCUGAACAGUCAGCCGGUUUCUCUUGAUGAUCUUCACCGGUUGUCUUGGGUGACCGGCAAGUUUACUUUGAAAAAAUUAGAGUGCUCAAAGCAGGCGUGAGGCCUGAAUAAUGGUGCAUGGAAUAAUGGAAUAGGACCUCGGUUCUAUUUUGUUGGUUUUCGGAACACGAGGUAAUGAUUAAGAGGGACAGACGGGGGCAUUCGUAUUGCGACGCUAGAGGUGAAAUUCUUGGACCGUCGCAAGACGAACUACUGCGAAAGCAUUUGCCAAGAAUGUUUCCAUUAAUCAAGAACGAAAGUUAGAGGUUCGAAGGCGAUCAGAUACCGCCCUAGUUCUAACCAUAAACGAUGCCAGCCAGCGAUCCGGCUGUGUUCCUCAAAUGACACGCCGGGCAGCUUCCGGGAAACCAAAGCUUUUGGUUCCGGG